CUACGGGCCGCUGCAGCGAGGAAUUUUGCGCAAUGGGGGGAACCCUGACGCAGCAACGCCGCGUGAGUGAUGAAGGCUUUCGGGUCGUAAAGCUCUGUCAAGUGGGAAGAACCUAUGCAGUGUUAAUAUCACUGUAUACUGACGGUACCACUGAAGGAAGCACCGGCUAACUCCGUGCCAGCAGCCGCGGUAAUACGGGGGGUGCAAGCGUUAUUCGGAAGCAUGGGGCGUAAAGGGCACGUAGGCGGCUUGGUAAGUCAGAUGUGAAAGCCCGGGGCUUAACCCCGGAAGUGCAUUUGAUACUGUCAGGCUUGAGUAUGGGAGAGGGAAGUGGAAUUCCUGGUGUAGAGGUGAAAUUCGUAGAUAUCAGGAGGAACACCGGUGGCGAAGGCGACUCCCUGGACCAAUACUGACGCUGAGGUGCGAAGGCGUGGGUAGCAAACAGGAUUAGAUACCCUAGUAGUC
RNAcentral lists this ribosomal RNA (465 nucleotides) under uncultured bacterium. RNAcentral's name for it is "partial 16S ribosomal RNA". It matches the Rfam family "Bacterial small subunit ribosomal RNA", at positions 339 to 795 of the family's 1533-position model. The record is from RNAcentral.